RNAcentral lists this long non-coding RNA (210 nucleotides) under Physcomitrium patens. RNAcentral's name for it is "long non-coding RNA (PPAT_LNC013458)". Lineage: Eukaryota; Viridiplantae; Streptophyta; Bryopsida; Funariales; Funariaceae. The record is from RNAcentral.
UGUGUGAGUUAGUGAGUGUGUGUAUGUGUGGGAGAGGUGAUACCCUGAUUUUAUGCACUGCAUGGGGAACCACGUCUGAGGUUGUUGUGUCCCAGGAUUCCCAGUGCGUUCUCAAUGGAUUGGCAUUUGUGGUUUGUCAGUGCUCACUUGUGUGUGUUUGUGCAUUUUGGUCAAAGCUUGGAAUUGGGUAUGUUUGGGGAACUGAUAAGG